CUUCUCCGGUUCCGCGCAGGUCACUGACCAGCUGAAUGGUACGCCCCGCGCCUUCACGGGGAACAGCCUGAAUGGAAAGGUUCAGACCACGCUCUGUUUCCAGAAUGAACGUAAAGGGCUUUUUGUUGACGGUGGCCACCACCACACCGCCGGAGGCGGUCUGCUCAUUAUUGGUCAGGGCACCAUCCAGACUGUUCACGGCGAUAAUCCGGUCACCGGGAACGGUAAACAGAUUCGGGCUGGUAUUGCUGAUGGCAAUACUGGCCUGACCACCGUUCACCAUUGGCACCACAGUGGGGGCCAGCGUACCGUUUGCGGCCAUCACGCUGCAGGAAAAAAACAGGCCGCCGAAUAUUAUUGCCGUAUUAUUUUUUCUCAUCGUCUGUUUCCCCGAAAUUAUCCAGCCAGGUCACCCCGUUUUCCCGCUUCAGAAUAAGGAUGUAAUGUUUGAUAUCAGUAAAAGGUUCGGAGUUACCAAUCCAUGUUUUCCGAAUUCCACGGAUUUCCACACGACCAUACUGAGGCCAGACACGGACACUGGUCUGGAAAAAAGCAGAAUUCACGUUAUCUUUUUUAAUGAGUUUCGCUUCUUCAGCCAGAAUAACUUUCAUCUGGUUCUGUGCACCCGGGCGGAUAUAUUGCAGAAGCGCCUGAUGUGAAGCAUCGACGAUUUCCGGUGAGACAUUCAGACGGAGGGCAAUAAAUGACAGCGCCAUCUGCUGCAAAUAAGAGGCAUCGGCACUGUUCUGUGACACGGCAAAGGGCACAUUAAAUCCCAUUGGGGUCACGGCAGUGCGUUGCUCAUUCUGAAGACGGUAGUUAUUCACCCCCUGAAUGAGGUUAACAGAGAGGCUGAGAACAAUAAGCACUGACAUAAAUAUAAAGGCGAUGGCCAUUACACGACUGGUACUUAAACGGGCACCGUGUUCCAUAUAACAAUCCUGGUAUCAGUUCUAUUUAAUCCACUGCCGGAAACACGAAUCGGGAACAUUAUGAAAAAUACCGCGCAGCAGGGCUGUUGGCAUAUACCAGUAAAUCAGGUCACGUAACCAGGAACUGCCCCGCCCUUUUUUCAGUUUUUUAAUCCCGAAAUAAACCAGAACCGCUGCACCAAUACCGAACAGAUAUUUCGAUGUUGUGAUACCCCAGCCAACACAGAUUGCUGCGGGGAUCAGUUCAUCCAGUGGCAGGCCAAACCAGCGGCUCUGGUUGGUCAGUGUUUCCGGGAAACGAUAUUUCUUAAGUUUAUUCUCGUCUCCCGACAUCGUUUUAUUUCCUGUCAGAGGCCAACGACGCUCAUACCCACAGCAAUAAAUACAGAGAUGAUGGCAAAGCCGACCAGGAACUUGACGUUUUUGGUCAUCAUGUACAUGACCGCACCGACCAGCACCUCAGCCAGAACAACCCAUUUAACGAUACUGGAGUCCUUACCGAAGGUCGCCUUAACCGUAUCGUUACCUUUAGCCAUCAGGUCGCCUUUACCAGCAGCCAUAGCUAACUCAGGGAACAACAUCAUCAGAACAGCAACCGGGAUCACUGCACGAACCAGGCGAAGCAUAUUCAGACGAGUGAAUUUAGAAAAAAACGAUUUCUUUUCAACGGGCGCAGAAGCACCCUGAACACUUAAAACAGUAUUCAUAAGUUACCUCUAUUGUGGAUAGAUUAAUAAACCUAAAGAUCUUUAAUUAUCGAAUCAGUUUCCUCUGCUCCCUCCUUUAUUGCAUCCAGAUUAUAAAAGUCAGGAAAACGGUUCAGAUGAUCACGUAACCUGACUAGCACCUCAUUAGUUUUUGUUCUCCCACUACGUUCCCGGGCACCUAAGAGCUUGUGAUUAGUAGCAUCGUCCAAUACCAGUAAAACUUUAUUGCCCGGAGCAGGCCUUAUUAUAUUUCUGCUCAAGUCUCCUCCUCAGCCACUUAGAUAAUUAAAUAUAAUUAUACGAAUCCAUAAAAAUAGAAACGAAAAUAGAGUAAAUUACAUUAACAAAACAAGGUGACAUAAUGUCACCUUGUUUUUAACAAAAACGAAACAUCAACUAUUCAGCACAUUUUAAAAUAAAAAACAAUUCAUCAAAGAAUAAACUAUGCAUCCUGCUUGUAUGAAAAAUCAUUAACAAAUCAUGUUUUGAAUGUAUACCGAAAAACUUAUACACUUCUGAAAUUGCAUUCCGGGAAGAACCAUUAGUAAUAGACAAAAGAGAUGCUAUCGAUUCAUGACAAAAACCAAAUGAAUAAAGAAUAAAAACUUUCCAUUGGAUUUCCGUUGAUUUGUUUUUAAAUUCAAGCAUUCUGUCAUUUGUUAUAUUUGUACGUAAUCCUCUACAAUAAUCCACUAUCACAUUAGAAUUUUUGCAGAAAAAAAGCCAUAAAACAUUAACCACCUCCCCAUAUAUUAAUGGUAUAAAUUGUACCAGCCAGAGUUUAUCACCUAUAGCCACGCUCUGUAUUUUAUUCAUGGACGAAGGCAAAGACAUAGCAUCCAGUUCUUCUCUUAAGAACGAUGUAGCUACUUGUACAGGAAGGGAGUAAAACCACUCUUUGAUAUCAAGACUACCUAUAAAUUCUUUAGAGAAUUUUUCAUUGUAGCCGAUAAAAUCUCCAUUAGUAUUUCGAACACAAGCAGGGAUUGAAAAAACAUCGACAAAAAACUGUUUAUCCAAAUAUAUUUGACGUUCAGUAUUAAGUUGUCUAGGAUCCGUCGGAUACAUAGGAACCUCCUCUCAAAGGAUUCUAUGGACAGUCGAUGCGGGGAGGUCGCUCUCCCUGCAUCGGCGAUUUU
This 2778-nucleotide non-coding RNA is filed under the name Shigella flexneri 2b. Lineage: Bacteria; Pseudomonadati; Pseudomonadota; Gammaproteobacteria; Enterobacterales; Enterobacteriaceae. The record is from RNAcentral.